CCUACGGGAGGCAGCAGUGAGGAAUAUUGCUCAAUGGGCUUACGCCUGAACCAGCCACGUCGCGUGAGGGAAGACUGCCCUAUGGGUUGUAAACCUCUUUUGCCAGGGAGCAACGCCGGCUACGUGUAGACGGACUGAGAGUACCUGAAGAAAAAGCAUCGGCUAACUCCGUGCCAGCAGCCGCGGUAAUACGGAGGAUGCGAGCGUUAUCCGGAUUUAUUGGGUUAAAAGGGUGCGUAGGCGGAAUGCCAAGUCAGCGGGAAAAUCGCGGGGCUCAACCUCGCUCCGCUGUUGAAACUGGCGUUCUGGAGUGGGCGAGAGGUAAGCGGAAUGCGGGGUGUAGCGGUGAAAUGCGUAGAUAUCAGGCAGAACUCCGGUGGCGAAGGCAGCAUACCGGCGCCCAACUGACGCUGAGGCACGAAAGCGUGGGUAGCGAACAGGAUUAGAUACCCGUGUAGUC
RNAcentral lists this ribosomal RNA (460 nucleotides) under uncultured bacterium. RNAcentral's name for it is "partial 16S ribosomal RNA". It matches the Rfam family "Bacterial small subunit ribosomal RNA", at positions 338 to 795 of the family's 1533-position model. The record is from RNAcentral.